GAGGAGCUCAUCAGAUGAGGUCGGCUCAACAGAUUCAUCCGACACCGACCUGAAGGAAGGAAGGAUCGGUCGAGGGCCCUACCACAGCCAAAGCCACCAAGGGGGGAGGAAUAGCCUGAGGAUCGACCUCCAAUCGAGAUCCUCCACACCAUCUCUAGAGGACCCCGACAGGGAGCGGCUAGUGGAUCGAUCGUACCACCCAAGCGGCAA
This 210-nucleotide long non-coding RNA is filed under the name Elaeis guineensis (African oil palm). RNAcentral describes it as "long non-coding RNA (EGUI_LNC043234)". Lineage: Eukaryota; Viridiplantae; Streptophyta; Magnoliopsida; Arecales; Arecaceae. The record is from RNAcentral.